Long non-coding RNA from Amblyraja radiata (thorny skate), 127 nucleotides. RefSeq lists it as uncharacterized. Lineage: Eukaryota; Metazoa; Chordata; Chondrichthyes; Rajiformes; Rajidae. The record is from RefSeq and is a predicted model, not a curated record. The transcript has 4 exons.
UGUACAGUUUAAAUCUCCUCCAAUUAUCAAAUUGUAUUGUCCAAAUUCUGGAAUAGUAUUAAAUAUUUUCUUUAAAAAAAGCGGGUUGUCAAAGUUUGGGCCGUUUACAUUUACAAAAAACAUUUUU